UUACUUAACUGGCGGGGGAGAGACCAUGAUCAUGAAGGCGGUUCUCCCAGGACGAGGCUAGCCCAUUGAGCGUCGGGCGUGCUGACGCCUGCAAUGUCCCCAAACACGGGAUACCCAACACACUGCGGAUGUGCACCCACUGUCGAGCACAGCACAG
This is a small nuclear RNA of Carcharodon carcharias (great white shark), 157 nucleotides long. RefSeq annotates it as U1 spliceosomal RNA. The transcript has a single exon. The record is from RefSeq and is a predicted model, not a curated record. NCBI's taxonomy places the organism in Eukaryota, Metazoa, Chordata, Chondrichthyes, Lamniformes, Lamnidae.